Molecule: non-coding RNA, 205 nt
Organism: Drosophila melanogaster (fruit fly)
Lineage: Eukaryota; Metazoa; Arthropoda; Insecta; Diptera; Drosophilidae
Source: Ensembl
ACUGCAAUCCCAAAAUGCAUUCUACUAAACACAUCACACAAUCACUAAAACGCCAGAAGAUCCAAUUGCUUCGAAUGCACAGCCGACAGUCGCCGAGCCCAUAGGCAUCGUAAAUCGGACAUGUACACCAAUAUUCCAACACAACUGCCGCAACUCCGUAGGCAAUUCCAAGAUAAUGCAUAAUUUAAAUAAUAAGUCAAAUUAU